UAGGGAAUCUUCCACAAUGGACGCAAGUCUGAUGGAGCAACGCCGCGUGAGUGAAGAAGGUUUUCGGACCGUAAAGCUCUGUUGUUGGUGAAGAAGGAUAGAGGUAGUAACUGGCCUUUAUUUGACGGUAAUCAACCAGAAAGUCACGGCUAACUACGUGCCAGCAGCCGCGGUAAUACGUAGGUGGCAAGCGUUGUCCGGAUUUAUUGGGCGUAAAGCGAGCGCAGGCGGAAUGAAUAAGUCUGAUGUGAAAGCCCUCGGCUUAACCGAGGAAUUGCAUCGGAAACUGUUUUCUUGAGUGCAGAAGAGGAGAGUAGAACUCCAUGUGUAGCGGUGGAAUGCGUAGAUAUAUGGAAGAAUACCAGUGGCGAAGGCGGCUCUCUGGUCUGCAACUGACGCUGAGGCUCGAAAGCAUGGGUAGCGAACAGGAUUAGAUACCCUGGUAGUCCAUGCCGUAAACGAUGAGUGCUAAGUGUUGGGAGGCUUCCGCCUCUCAGUGCUGCAGCUAACGCAUUAAGCACUCCGCCUGGGGGAGUACGACCGCAAGGUUGAAAC
This 555-nucleotide ribosomal RNA is filed under the name uncultured bacterium. RNAcentral's name for it is "partial 16S ribosomal RNA". It matches the Rfam family "Bacterial small subunit ribosomal RNA", at positions 355 to 900 of the family's 1533-position model. The record is from RNAcentral.